This 38-nucleotide ribosomal RNA is filed under the name Phlebia queletii. RNAcentral describes it as "partial 5.8S ribosomal RNA". The record is from RNAcentral. Lineage: Eukaryota; Fungi; Basidiomycota; Agaricomycetes; Polyporales; Meruliaceae.
GGUAUUCCGAGGAGCAUGCCUGUUUGAGUGUCAUGGUA